Molecule: ribosomal RNA, 443 nt
Filed under: uncultured bacterium
Lineage: Bacteria
Description: partial 16S ribosomal RNA
Rfam family: Bacterial small subunit ribosomal RNA
Source: RNAcentral
CCUACGGGUGGCAGCAGUGGGGAAUAUUGGGCAAUGGGCGCAAGCCUGACCCAGCAACGCCGCGUGAAGGAAGAAGGCCCUCGGAUUGUAAACUUCUUUUAUCAGGGACGAAGGAAGUGACGGUACCUGAGGAAUAAGCCAACGCUAACUACGUGCCAGCAGCCGCGGUAAUACGUAGGUGGCACGCGUUAUCCGGAUUUACUGGGUGUAAAGGGCGAGUAGGCGGGAUUGCAAGUCAGAUGUGAAAUUCCUGGGCUCAACCCGGGAACUGCAUUUGAAACUGGAGUUCUUGAGUGAUGGAGAGGAAGGUGGAAUUCCGGGUGUAGCGGUGAAAUGCGUAGAUAUACGGAGGAACACCAGUGGCGAAGGCGGCUUGCUGGACAUUAACUGACGCUGAGGCGCGAAAGCGUGGGGAGCAAACAGGAUUAGAUACCCUGGUAGUC